RNAcentral lists this ribosomal RNA (539 nucleotides) under uncultured cyanobacterium. RNAcentral's name for it is "bacterial SSU rRNA". It matches the Rfam family "Bacterial small subunit ribosomal RNA", at positions 337 to 894 of the family's 1533-position model. RNAcentral also lists the same sequence under 1 other name. Lineage: Bacteria; Bacillati; Cyanobacteriota. The record is from RNAcentral.
CCCUACGGGAGGCAGCAGUGCGGAAUUUUCCGCAAUGGGCGAAAGCCUGACGGAGCAAGACCGCGUGGGGGAGGAAGGUUCUUGGAUUGUAAACCCCUUUUCUCAGGGAAGAACACAAUGACGGUACCUGAGGAAUCAGCAUCGGCUAACUCCGUGCCAGCAGCCGCGGUAAUACGGAGGAUGCAAGCGUUAUCCGGAAUAAUUGGGCGUAAAGCGUCCGUAGGUGGCUGUUCAAGUCUGCCGUUAAAGACCGGGGCUUAACCCUGGAAAGGCGGUGGAAACUGAACGGCUAGAGUGCAGUAGGGGUAGAGGGAAUUCCCGGUGUAGCGGUGAAAUGCGUAGAGAUCGGGAAGAACACCGGUGGCGAAAGCGCUCUGCUGGACUGCAACUGACACUCAGGGACGAAAGCUAGGGGAGCGAAUGGGAUUAGAUACCCCAGUAGUCCUAGCCGUAAACGAUGGAUACUAGGUGUGGCUUGUAUCGACCCGGUCCGCGCCGUAGCUAACGCGUUAAGUUCCCGCCUGGAGAGCCCAGGGCCC